RNAcentral lists this ribosomal RNA (253 nucleotides) under uncultured bacterium. RNAcentral describes it as "partial 16S ribosomal RNA". It matches the Rfam family "Bacterial small subunit ribosomal RNA", at positions 524 to 776 of the family's 1533-position model. The record is from RNAcentral.
UACAGAGGUCUCAAGCGUUGUUCGGAUUCAUUGGGCGUAAAGGGUGCGUAGGUGGCGCGCUAAGUCAGGUGUGAAAUUUCGGAGCUCAACUCCGAAACUGCAUUUGAUACUGGCGUGCUUGAGGACUGGAGAGGAGACUGGAAUUUACGGUGUAGCAGUGAAAUGCGUAGAGAUCGUAAGGGAGACCAGUGGCGAAGGCGGGUCUCUGGACAGUUCCUGACACUGAGGCACGAAGGCCAGGGGAGCAAACGGG